RNAcentral lists this ribosomal RNA (253 nucleotides) under uncultured bacterium. RNAcentral describes it as "partial 16S ribosomal RNA". It matches the Rfam family "Bacterial small subunit ribosomal RNA", at positions 524 to 776 of the family's 1533-position model. The record is from RNAcentral.
UACGGGGGGGGCAAGCGUUGUUCGGAAUUACUGGGCGUAAAGGGCGCGUAGGCGGCCUUCUAAGUCGGACGUGAAAUCCCUCGGCUCAACCGAGGAACUGCGUCUGAUACUGGAAGGCUUGAAUCCGGGAGAGGGAUGUGGAAUUCCAGGUGUAGCGGUGAAAUGCGUAGAUAUCUGGAGGAACACCGGUGGCGAAGGCGGCAUCCUGGACCAACACUGACGCUGAGGAGCGAAAGCCAGGGGAGCAAACGGG